GAUCAUGGCUCAGGAUGAACGCUAGCGACAGGCUUAACACAUGCAAGUCGAGGGGCAGCACAGGUAGCAAUACCGGGUGGUCGACCGGCGCACGGGUGAGUAACGCGUAUGCAACUUGCCUAUCAGAGGGGGAGUAACCCGGCGAAAGUCGGACUAAUACCGCAUGAAGCAGGGGUCCCGCAUGGGGAUAUUUGCUAAAGAUUCAUACGCUGAUAGAUAGGCAUGCGUU
Molecule: ribosomal RNA, 229 nt
Filed under: uncultured bacterium
Lineage: Bacteria
Description: partial 16S ribosomal RNA
Rfam family: Bacterial small subunit ribosomal RNA
Source: RNAcentral